AGGACCUUCAAUAGCCCACAAGAGUUACACUCCUGUAAGAUGCAUCCAGAGCUUGUCUUUCCCCCUUGAAAGAAGGGGGACCUGUCUAUGGCUACUGAUUAUUUUGUGUUCAUCUUUACUUUUCUCUGAGAAUAUUUCUAGCUCUGGAUGAGGUAGACUCCCUUGGGAUUCAGAUGGCAGGAUGAGUCUCCCACCUCUGGACCUGUACUGAUAACUACCUGGGCAAGGGGAAUGCCCAGUCAGGUUACCAGAACACUCCAAAAAGUAAGAGUCACUGGUUGAGAAGGGGAGUAACUCUAAGGUGGACAGUGGAUGCAAGGGCCUCCUGUUGAGCCUACUGAAACUAUACCCCUCCAGUGGAAACACCAGCUGCCCUCCCCAAGGAUUAAUCUUUGUAGAUGGAGUUUCUCUCCCUGCCCCUGUAGGAGUACAGAUCAGACUGAAAGGACCAAAUUCUCAGACAGUAGAGGCUUGGGUCCACAUAAAAGUGCACCCUCAUGACUGUGUAUCCAGUUACUCUUUCAGUGUGGCCUGCAUGGCUCACUUGUAACAGCCACUUGUGAGUAAUGCAGCCAUCCCAAUGCUAAUAAAACAUGUAUCCCUUAACACAACAGCAUGUGUUCUCUAUAGGGUAUGUACUAGAUCCCCAGCUUGACUUCUGUGGAGCUAUGCCAAUGGACAGCAGCUGAGGAUCUACCCUUUUGCAAUUAUAAGUCAGCAUAGUUCACAUUUAACUGUCUAAUCAUUUCAUACCAAUGGAUUUUUUGUAAAGUACUUCCAUCUACCAUAGAGAUGGUAGAAUUGUAUUUGAGGAGAUAAUGUUUUAUUUAAAAAUAUUACUGUUAUGUUUUGCUAGAUUCACUAUUUUGAAAAAUAAGAAUAUAUUUACUGUAAACAUUGUUAUGGUUCUACAUUAUGGCUAUAUUUUACUGUAGAGUAACAAAUCUUGCCAUGAUUAACACUGGUGCAGAUAA
Molecule: long non-coding RNA, 974 nt
Organism: Dermochelys coriacea (leatherback sea turtle)
Lineage: Eukaryota; Metazoa; Chordata; Testudines; Dermochelyidae
Exons: 2
Source: RefSeq, a predicted model, not a curated record